GAUGAACGCUGGCGGCGUGCCUAAUACAUGCAAGUCGAGCGAACGCACGAGAAUCUUGCUCCUCUGAUGUUAGCGGCGGACGGGUGAGUAACUCGUGGAUAACCUACCUAUAAGACUGGGAUAACUACGGGAAACCGGAGCUAAUACCGGAUGAUAUUUUUAACUGCAUGGUUCAAAAGUGAAAGAAGGUCUUGCUGUCACUUAUAGAUGGAUCCGCGCUGCAUUAGCUAGUUGGGAAGGUAACGGCUUACCAAGGCAACGAUGCAUAGCCGACCUGAGAGGGGGAUCGGCCACACGGGAACGGAGACACGGUCCAGACUCCUACGGGAGGCAGCAGUAGGGAAUCUUCCGCAAGGGGCGAAAGCCUGACGGAGCAACGCCGCGUGAGUGAUGAAGGUCUUCGGAUCGUAAAACUCUGUUAUUAGGGAAGAACAUAUGUGUAAGUAACUGUGCACAUCUUGACGGUACCUAAUCAGAAAGCCACGGCUAACUACGUG
RNAcentral lists this ribosomal RNA (497 nucleotides) under uncultured bacterium. Its description in RNAcentral is "partial 16S ribosomal RNA". It matches the Rfam family "Bacterial small subunit ribosomal RNA", at positions 28 to 507 of the family's 1533-position model. The record is from RNAcentral.